Regulatory RNA element from Hafnia alvei FB1, 155 nucleotides. It matches the Rfam family "Molybdenum/Tungsten riboswitch aptamer (Moco RNA motif)". NCBI's taxonomy places the organism in Bacteria, Pseudomonadati, Pseudomonadota, Gammaproteobacteria, Enterobacterales, Hafniaceae. The record is from Rfam.
AUGGCGUCUGAACUCCUAGCCCUUUUACCUAAGUUUAGUCGAAAACAGCUGUUUUCCACUCGAUACGGUGUCUGGGCCGUGGCUAUAAGCCACCAGGGUACAAGGUAGAAAUGCCUGUGCCUCCCGAAUUGGAAAGGUGUUAACAAUGCUCCAAC